Molecule: ribosomal RNA, 265 nt
Filed under: uncultured bacterium
Lineage: Bacteria
Description: partial 16S ribosomal RNA
Rfam family: Bacterial small subunit ribosomal RNA
Source: RNAcentral
GCAAGUCGAGCGAGAAGGUAGUUAAUGAAUCUUCGGAUGAUUUAACCACUGGACAGCGGCGGACGGGUGAGUAACGCGUGGGUAACCUACCUUGUACUGGGGGAUAACAUUCUGAAAAGAAUGCUAAUACCGCAUAAGCUUACAGUAUCGCAUGAUACAGUGAGAAAAACUCCGGUGGUACAAGAUGGACCCGCGUCUGAUUAGCUAGUUGGUGAGAUAAAAGCUCACCAAGGCGACGAUCAGUAGCCGGCCUGAGAGGGUGAAC